RNAcentral lists this ribosomal RNA (253 nucleotides) under uncultured bacterium. RNAcentral's name for it is "partial 16S ribosomal RNA". It matches the Rfam family "Bacterial small subunit ribosomal RNA", at positions 524 to 776 of the family's 1533-position model. The record is from RNAcentral.
UACGGGGGGGGCAAGCGUUGUUCGGAAUUACUGGGCGUAAAGGGCUCGUAGGUGGCCAACUAAGUCGGACGUGAAAUCCCUCAGCUUAACUGGGGAACUGCGUCCGAUACUGGAUGGCUUGAGUUUGGGAGAGGGAUGCGGAAUUCCUGGUGUAGCGGUGAAAUGCGUAGAUAUCAGGAGGAACACCGGUGGCGAAGGCGGCUUUCUGGACAGUAACUGACGCUGAGGCGCGAAAGCUAGGGGAGCAAACAGG